This 11243-nucleotide long non-coding RNA is filed under the name Glycine max (soybean). Its description in RNAcentral is "long non-coding RNA (GMAX_LNC004197)". The record is from RNAcentral. Lineage: Eukaryota; Viridiplantae; Streptophyta; Magnoliopsida; Fabales; Fabaceae.
ACAAACCCCAAUCCCCAAAAUGUAAACACCUACCAAAUCUCUUUUUUCUUCCAAAUCAUGAAAUAGUAAGACACCACGAGAGGGAGUAUGAAAGCUUGAGAACAAGAAAGAAGAAAGCGAUGCCAGGUCGAGAGAGAGUUAAGCGCACGCGAUAGAGCAGGGAGGAUGAAGGAUUUUAUUCUGAUAGUGGUUUCGGCGAGAUGGUGAUUGAAGGAGAAGGAGGCCACAUGUGCAAUUGUAUUUAUUAGCGUCUUCAAAGACUCUUCCUGAAAAUGGUCAAGUGAGCAAGUUCAAGAAGAUGAACGACAUCAACGAGGGUGGAAUUAGAGGUAGAGCUUGAAUCUGGAGAGUAGUCAACAAGGUAAGACAGAGCUAGAUGUUGUGUAAUACUAAUAUAACUGGAAAUCCCACUUUGAUCAGGAUAGAGUUAGGGAAAAAAGUAGUUGAAACAAAGAAUGAAAAGUGGUAUUUGGUUUUCUACUAGUAUGAGAUUGCUCUUCAUCCUGUCCUUAUAUGUUGUCGUCACUUCUUGGCCAAGAAAGUAUGGGAGAAACAAAUCUAAGGACAACAAAGAAAGUAAUUUUGAAUUCCAUUCAUUUAAUUGAGAAAUGAAAAGCUCUAAUAGAAAACAUUUGUCACGUAUCAUAAUUGUGGCCAGAUCGAACCCGUCGAGUUUGAUUUCUUCAACAUAGCUUGCAUGAACCGUUGUGUUGUGCUCCAACAUGACACACAUAAAAGUUUCUAGAAUUUCUGUUGCAUUUUGAUUUGUUCGAAUAAGAAGGAAGAUCAUGCAACGCCACUUAAGCCCUUCCAUUUGAAGUAAUUCCCUUCUUCCCUUGUAUCGAGACUCGAUGGACACCUUCCUUGGCUUGAAUAAUUCUUCGUUUGAUCUCCAAAGCUCCUUCAAAACAAGGAGAAUGUUGUACUGUUGACAAUAUUGUUGCCUUACAGAACCCAUUAGUGCUUUUGUUGUUUCCCUCUAUCUCUUCAACUCAGCGUCUUCGUCCAUGGCCUGCAAUCUACAUACAAAACCAAAACCAAAAAUAAUGAACGAAUGGCUAGUUGACUAAAGCUGGAAAAGAAGAAAUAAUAAACAUCCACCACAUGGUUAUGGAAAGAAAUUAAUUAAAUCAAAGAAUUACUGCAUUCGCCUUGUUAAAACCACAUGAGGUCACUUUUUUUUUUACCCGUAUGAAUUGAAAACAUAUAACAAGAGAUUCAUAAUAAGUUAAUGACUUACGCACCUGUUCAACCAACUAAGCUAAACCUUUGUAGAGUGUUGUUAUAUUUUGUGUCUGGAAGAACAUAAAUGAUUGUUGUACCGUAUGGCUCGUGAAACUCAGCGCGUACUCGACUCGUGGGGCCCCACAUGCUCGGGUUGUGGCAAUCCCCAACUGUCACCUACGGACUUGGCCACAAUGAGUAGAAGAGUAGUUUACCAAUGUGGCUCUAAGCAUUGCGCAACUCCUUUAACAUUGGAUAUGUAUAUAUAGAUCCAGAGGAGAGAUCCCCAUGUAUGUUUUACUCAUCCCACACAUAGGCACAAAAACACUUCAGAGCACCACUAACUUACUCGUUAGAGUCUCUUUUGCAGGUACCUCCCCUCACUUCAACCCUGGAGAUCGGAGAUCACACUAGGAAGAGGAGGACUAGGCAGCUCGGUCAGAACUCAAUAGGAACAUUUGGCACCCACCGUGGGGCUGAGGAAAAAUUUUCUUCGAUUGCAAAAUGGUACCAACAAGGAGAGGCAAUCGCAGUUCAUCUGCGUGCUCCACACAAGCCAAGACAUCAACAAUAUGGGAAAUUCGAGAACAAAUGGAAUAAUUACGAAAAAAAAUGGAGGCCGAUUUGGAGGUCUCGAGGCAACAACACGAGGCGAACAUGUGAUGAUUAAUAGAAGAAAACGCGAAUCUCAGAGUCCAACUUACAAUCCAGCACCCACCUCCGUUGCCCCUACCACCACCAUCUCCACCUCGCUCCCCAUCCCCACCCACCCAUGUCGAGACAUAUACUCAGGAAAGUCACACUUAACUCUCCUCUUAUAACCACCACGAGCAACCUUUAAUCUACUCCCGACUCAGAUCACUCAACAUCGACCAUGAUGUAGUUCACUGACACCCUUUCGUAGAUGGCAUCAUGGAUACACCCCUACCAAUAACCUGGAAACCCCUGAACAUUGAAAGAUACAUUGGUACCUCUGAUCCUAACAAACACUUGGAUGCAUUCACCACACAAGUCAAUUUGUACUACAUAAUGACGACGUCGUGAUGUGCAAGGUUUUUCCCAUCUCCCUCAAAGGGCCGACACUGACGUGGUACAAGUGUGACCCCCACGAUCCAUUGACUCCUUCUUCACCUUAGCCCAACGCUUCGGAGUGCAAUAUAAACCAACCGCCCUCACCACACCACAUCCAUCGCUCUAGUCAACCUCUGCCCAGCUAAUGACGAGUCAUUGCAGUUUUUUUUUUUUGGAGAGGUACGCCACCAUCUCCAUUAGAAUUAGAGACCUCGACCAUGGUGUCGUGCUACAUUCUAUGAUCACAACGCUCAAGCCAUGGAUUUUUGCCAACAACCUCUGUCGGAAGCAACCCAAAGAUCUGGAUGAACUUCAAGCACGAGCAACGAGAUACAUCCAAAUGGAGGAGCUAUCCACCUUUCGUAACCAAGUAUGUUCGGCGAAGCAGAAAAAAGAUGACCACACAAGUGUGAACCAUGUCAAUAAACCUUGAUAUUAUUUUUUUUAUAUCAAUAAUGGUAUUGAAAAAAAAAUCAUUUUAUAAAAAAUUCUUAUCAUGUCUAACAAGAUUUAAACGACAAAGAGUAAUUGCCAAUCUUGGAAUUUAGGCUCCACUAUUCACACAAUGGUGUGGUUCCUCUGUAUAUCUAAAUAAAAACAUGAUGAGCUAUAUAGCGUUCUUACAUUAUGUAGAAAAAGCUAGUCUAUGAGUUCAAUUUUUAAACCACCUUUCUUUAUUAGGAGAUACGUAAGCUGUCUAUUAUGGACCUUUGUUGUUGACUUAAAAACAAUAUUUACACAGUCAACUCUAUUAUUGAGGGUAUUACAAGGGAUAUAGACGAUACACUUUUGGAUUUGUUGGCCCUUAGAAGUUCAGCCUAGGUUUGUUGUAGCUAACUAUGUCCUAAUUGGAGUAGUACGUCACUUUAACACACGAAAUAUGGUUAACAAAAAUGAUGUAUGGACACCAAAAUUGUAAAUUUAUAGGUAAUAUGAUAUGAAAAGACGGAAAUAGAGAGAAAUUUGAGUAAUAAAUAGUGUUUGUACUGUCACAUGUGUUCAAAUAUCAUUAUUGUAACGUUAAAAUUAAGGACCGAUGCUAUGAAACUAAAAAAAAGAAGAAUCAUGUAACAAAAAAAUUGGGAGAUCUACAUAGGAAUAUAGAAAGAAGAAUAGAUUUCCUAAACUCUUUCCUGUUAUUCCAAAACUUUAACAAAAGAACCCAAGUUUUGUUAUGGAAAACAAACGCAUAUGAGCUUACCACAAGCUGCAUCAUAAUGGCCAUUAUGAACUCCAUAAAAAGUCAGCACCCUCUUUAAUCAUGGUCAAACUAACAACUAACCAUCUCAAGCCUACACACUUCUUUGUACACAAUGUUAGGUACUUCUACUGCUAUAGUCUGUUGCAUUUAAAGCCUAUACCAACUCAUCCCUAGACUAGGUAUUUUCUAAACCUUGAACAGCAUGACGUAGGAAAGCAAUGAGACUAAUAAAGCAAUAAGACUACUAAAGAUGGCACACGUAGGAUUCAAAUUUUGGUGAAUGAAAAACAAGUUUGUGUAAUUAAUUUGUGAUUGCAAAAUGUCUAAGAAACUUAAUAGAUAAUUCUAGUAGAAAGUUAAAAUGAGUGGUAAUGUCCAUUCUACUCUAUUCUAUUUUAAUCUAUUCCAUUCCAUAUCUUCCCAUCAAUUCAAACAUAGCCUAAAAGGGAAGAGGGAAUAAAAAGGCUACAAAUAAGAGAAUGUUGGAGUGAGAGGAUAUACAAGCAUUUAGGAAGUAAUAGUAGCUCCUACUGAGCAAAAAGAGACUAAAACCCUCUAUAUAUGCUCACCUAUGUAAAAAAGAAGAGUAUAGAAUAUAUAAAAAUAUCUCAUCCUAUCUUUGAUAGGCUUUUAAGAUUAGUUUAUCUAUUUUUUUUUCAUCAUCUCCUUAGAUUUAAAAAACAGGUUAGACUCAUAAUAAGCUUAACCUACUUCAGCUUAUUUCCAUAUUUCCAUCCCUAAUUCAUACCAGAUAACCCAAUUAAAAGUAGUAGAGAAAAACAUAUAACAAAAUUUCAAAAGAAACUACUAUAAUGUAUGUUAGAACAAUUUUACUGAACAUUUUAAUGCUUAUUAAACUCCAGGUUGUCUAUUAAUCACUAUAACUUGACCACAUUCAAUCAAAUGACUUGUUAGACAGGUUGAAAGUAGAACAGAGGAGCGCACAACACAAGAAAUAAGAUCAUCAUCACACCUUUAGGCUAACAGCAGAAACAUAAUUAGCAAAGUGAAAAUAUGUAUAUGCACACACAUAUGUACAUGCUAAUGAAAUAAGGCCUUUCUUCCCAGGAUCUUAUAUUUCCCUUUGGAAACACAUUGAUCUUAUUCCUAAUUACUACAAUGACAAGUAUGACCACAUCCUACUAAUAUAUACCCUAACACCACAUACACAUGUAACCAUCAUCAUCUUGGAAGCAUCUCUGUCACAAUAUCUGUACCACUAAAGUGAGUUGAAUUUGCUUCAUGCGGAUUUUCGGUUCUUUUGUACUUGAUUGCUUGAGAAGAUGAUGUCUCAUUCAAAGAACCACACUUCUUUCCAGUGCUGUGCCAUCUGUAAAUUCCAGGCUCAGUCAAUGCCUUCUCAUUGAGAUGAACUUCCUUGGAAAGCAUUUCCAAUACUUGCUUCAUGCUUGGUCUAUGUUGAGCUGCUGAUUGGGUGCAAAAUAGAGCCACUAUAAGGAACCGGUACACCACACUCUCAUCAUAUUCACUUAGUUCUGAAUCAACAAGGUCCAGAAGCCUAUUUUCUCCUUUCAGCUUCCAAGCCUGCACGCAUGAAUGAUGAGUUAGGAGAAACAAUAUACUGCUGCUCUUUUUUUUUUUAUGAUCAACAAAAAUAUAAAAGGAUGCAUUAAAUUUUGUUUUUUGUUUUUUGUUUUUUGUUUUUGUGUGCUUUGUGCUUUUCAAUUCAAUCCCUUGAAGAGAUUAGAUUGAAUGAUUUUUAGUCAAGGAGAGAGGGAGGGAGACCAAGAACUGAAGAAAGAUAGGAAGUUAUUAAAGAGGGAGCUCAUGGUAAUUGGUAACUAAUAUCUUUGAAAAUCUGGUCAUUAAUUGAGCUGAAUGAUGUUGUGUGAUCCAUGUAACUAAUCUCACCUAGUGGGGAAAGGCUUUUGUAGUUGUUGUUGUUGUUGUUGUUGUAUUGUUUUGUUUUGUUGUGUUGUGCGUUUUGUUUUUUGGCCACUAUGUCCACUAUUCGGAAACACACCAUUGUCUAAACAUAGUAGCAGCUCAUGGCUGCUCCACACUGCUAUAGUGCUCUAUUGAUAACUAUGCUGUUAGGCUGAAAAUUCUAUCUUGUGUUCUAGAUUGUAGGUUAGUUAGUAACCAAUGAGCUGAGUGUGUGAACUGCUAUAUCGUAACUAGCCAGAAGAGGCCAAAACUCAGAAUACUUGCUAAUGAGUAGUGAGUUGCGAGAAUCUCACCUCUUAUGCGGAACUGAAUGCAAGUUCCACCCUGGGCCAAACCAGUAUAAAACCAGCUGUGCAAGCUCCUUCGCUUUCUAUCCUCUUUAUUUUAAUUGAUAUGCUAAGCUUUGGAUUUUCUGGGUUUUUCAGUUACCUGUCUACUAAAAGUUUUAUCAGCACUCUAUACUCUGUCAAGUUUCAAUUUGAAGUUUCUGUUCAAGAAAACAUUUUGAAGGGCUAGAUUAAACCCCCUUCUCAAGCAUCCUACAUGUAUUUAUGACUUUAUUUAUCUUUGUGUGUUCCUAUGUCUCUUGCAAUUAAAGAAGCUAAGAGAAGAUCCUAGCAUGUAUUGUAUCAAAUCAAUAUUAAACAUACUCAAGAAUUAAGAAAUAUACCCAUUCCACCAAAACCAAAUAAUCCUCUUCAAAUGCAGCUAUGCUACUACUUUUCCCACUGAUUAUUUCAAGCAUGAGAAUCCCAAAACUGUACACAUCUGCCUUCUUUGUAAGUUGUCCCAGAAGUGCAUAUUCUGGUGCAAGAUAUCCCCUGCAACAGAAGAGGUAAACUGGGCUUAUAAAUUAUGUCCAAGUCUCAUACAAAGAAUUAUCAAUGUACCUAUACUGAUAAGAUGUGAGAUAAGGAUCUUAUGUCUUUGGUCUGCACUAGUCCACUCUCCACAUUACAAAGAUGCUAAUUUAACCCAAAAAACAUAGGAGAUUACAAGCAAUUACUUCUAGUUUUCUUUUUGACAGCACAGUUUAGUUUUAGUCUAAAACUUCUUUCCCCUCUCCGUUCUUUUGAUAUCCUACCUUUGAUCAAACAUUACAUCUUAGCAGCACACAUUAUUAUUGCUAAAAAAAUUAUAGAAAUUACUUGACUUUUUCUGUAAUGUUUCAAAAUUUAAAUGUAUUAAUGUAACAAUUAAAUAUUUACUAACAAUAAAAAAUAGAGAUACUAGCAGAGCAUGUCAAGAUGUUUAAACUACUAUAAGCUCAAGUGGUUUGAAGCAUAUUACUAUGUUAGGCAAGACUAAAGUCUAAAGUGAUUUAAUUCUGGCACAUGAACGCGAAACAGAAGCGCUUAAUUGAUAGGACACUGAUUGAUAAACUAAUAAAAUAUAAUUCUGAAUACACAAAUCACAUACAAUACAGUAAUAGAAUUCUUGUCCCAAACAAAAGUCACCUAUAGAGAAUAUUCUGUUUUCAGAAACUGCAAAUAAUAAUAUACUUAUUUUCACACUACACCCUUCUACACACAUAUUUAAUAGUAUAACUGCUCCUAACAUUCUACCCAAAACUGUCAACAUGACAGUUAUUAUUCACACAUACUAUGAAAAUACACAAUACACAAUUACUUAUAACUCCUCUACCCACAACUGCCAACGCGACAAUUUUUAUCUUCAUCAUUGAAAUUCAUUUUGACAAUAACUGUCUUAACUGCUUCUAACACUCGGUUCCCAUCAUUACCUCCUGCUGAAAAAAUCAGCCCUGUCCUCAAAGUAUGACUGGUUUUAUUUGAUGCAGUCACAGAUAGGAACUCCCAUUCCUGCAAACUUGUGCCACCCUUUGGAAACCUUGUAGAACAUCCCUGGCACCAAGUUUUGGACUACCAUGAAUUCUGUCCAACUGAAGGACACCAUUUUUGCUUCUAAAUUUCAUGCUAAUUGCAUGACUUCCAAUGAGUCUUCAGUUUAAAGGUGUCAAUUCUGUGUUUUCCUCGGGUAGUUUUCUUGCUUGAAAAGACGGAAAUUCAAAGGCUUCUAUGUACUCCUCUACACUUCCUAUUUGCUUUAAUUCAAACCAAAUCUUCACAUGGAUUUUCAACUUUUCUUCCAUCAAACCGGGGCUCUUUUAAAUAUUGCCCAAGUAAUAGGGGCUUCAGUUUCUCUCAGUAGAUUGAACCAUUGUAUGGUUGGGCCCUCCAUACUCAACUUGGCCAAGUUAAUGUUGACAUUGUCACUUCUAUUCUGCAGAACUGCCAUCUCUUUGAAACUCUUGAAUUCUUUCUCUGUCCAUUUAUCCAAUACCUUCUUCAUUUCAUUUAGAAGACUCUGUCAACUUGUCUUCCAACCUUUCUAUCUUGUCCUCCAUGCACCCCAAACUGUCAUCCACACUUGACAGAACUCUGCUCAGAAUUCUGGCUUUCAUGGAGUUUCUCUUCCAAUAGAUCCAUCCUUUCCCUCACCUAGUCAUGGUCGAUUGAUAUAACUCCAAUUUAUAAACUAAUAAAAUAUAAUUCUAAACACAGAAAUGACAUACAAUACAAUUGCCCUCCAAGAGACAAAAGUCUCCUAUAAAGAAUAUUCCCUGAUCACAAACUGCCAAAUAAGUUAUUUUCACACUACACCCUACUACACAUAAAUUUAAUAAUAUAACUGCUCCUAACUUUCCACCAAAAAUUGGUAACAUGACAGUUACCAUUACACAUACUCAGAUGAUACACCAUUGCUUCUAACUCUUCUACCCAUAAACUGUCAACAUGACUGUUAUUAUCUUCAUCAUUGAAAUCCAUCUUUAGACAAUAACUGUCAUAACUACUAACUCUCGGUUCAAAUUGUUAAUCAAGCAGUUCAUUGGUAUAAAUGUUGUCUACAAAGAUUCAUAAGAAACUACAAAAGUUAAGAACACUGAUAGUUUGUUCCUUCAAAAAUAUAUGUAUUUGAUAAUUUGUUCCUUUGAGAUGAAUCAUGGAGUUUAAAUGAGUAUUUGAAAAAGUUACAGAAAAACUAGACUAACUUUCAAGCAAUGAUCAAAAGGAAAGAUUCUGGCACCAGUUAGACAAAUAGAAAUAUUAAUAGAUACAUUUGUGCUUACACAGUUCCUGCAACUCGAGUACUAACAUGGGUGACAUUGUCAGGAAAAAGUUUUGCCAGACCAAAGUCCCCAAUUUUCGGAUUAAAGCUCCCAUCCAGCAAUAUGUUGCUGGCCUUGAUAUCCCUGUGAACAAUGUUUGGUUGAGCCUCUUCAUGAAGAAAACUUAGACCAGAAGCCGUGCCACGACAAAUAGCAGCCCUCUUUGGCCAAUCCAGAGCAACAUAUUUACCUUUUGAACCUGUAAAAUAUUCUCACAGCAUUAGAAUAAACCAAUGCAUAAAUAACCCUUCAAUUCAUUGAUUUACACAGUAGCAUAUGCAUAUCAAACCCUUGACUCCCACAACCCAACCAAACAGAGGAGUCACACUAAAAAUCUCCAAAACUCUGUGCUCCCUCCCCAAAAUCUUUAGUGUAUGGCACGCUCCAAUAUUUAAGAGCAACCCAGAUCAAUGAAACUGGCAAAGUGAGUCUUAUAUAAAGAUAAACUGGUUUCAGAAAAUGGAAAAGUUGAACAGCCAACUACUUAGAUAACACUCAAAUUCUAAUACAUAUUUAAAUUGUUCUGGUAUUUACCAAGCAAAGAGCUUGCAAGGCUAUUGUUCUCCAAAAAUUCAUAAACCAAUAUUCGGUGACCGCCCUCAACACAGCAGCCAAUCAGUUCCACAAGAUUUGGAUGUCGUAUAUUUGAUAUCAUAUCAAUUUCUGUCAUAAAUUCAUGGGUUCCCUGUUUAGACUCUACAGAAAGAGACUUGAUAGCAGCCUGAGUACCAUCCCUUAAAACUCCCUGCAAAGAUUAAUGACAAUCAGAAAAUAAAUGUACUGAAAUCCAUCUACAGAUUGUAACCAUAAAUAAAAGGAAAAAAAAAAACUGAUGAUCAUGACUCUCACCUUGUAGACAACUCCAUAACCUCCUCCACCGAUUUUACUUGAAGGAUGAAAAUCUCGAGUUGCUGAUCUCAAUGAGUUAUAGCUAAACUUUUUAGUUGCAACCACUGUCAGGAAAACAUAUAAAGCUUACAUAAAUAAAUCACAGGAUGCAAAAUUUCAUAAAAAGACAAUACAAAAAAGAGAGUCAAGAAAGCAAUUUUAGGAAGAUAAUGUCCAAGUGAAGAUGUCUCAGUAGAUCUAGACAAGUUUCAACUGAAACAGAGAUUCAUGCAUAUUUUGCUUAUAUGAUUUGCAAUAAUUUCCACCAUACGGGAGGGAUUCAAUAUAAGUACAUAACCAAAAAAUAAUGUAACCAAACAAUGGCCAACCACCCUUGCCAGCCAUCUUCAGUAGUAAAAUUUCAAUAUUAAUCAUUUAAAAUAGGAUAUCAGGAUUUAAAUGCAUCCCAUUAAGUUGGGACUUGGGAGUAGUAAGGUGGUUCAAGAGAGAUAAAUGAUAAUUCAACCGGUUGACCUCAGGUUUGACCCGCAAUUAACUAUUUCCAGCAACAGAUAAAUGAUAAACUUCAAAUCUAUCUAUUAAGUGUAACCAUGACUGCCCUUUUGACCAUAUGAGUGUGAGAAUUAAAAACAAAAGAACUGUACCUAUAAUUAUGCUACCAUAAGAAGCAAUAUUAAAAUAAUUUAAAACCUCAUUAACCAGGAUUAAGCUUUUUUUCUUUCCAGGGGAAAUCAAUCAAAUUAUCCAAGUUAGUACAUCAAAAUCAAUUUUGAUUUUUGACAGCCUAAAGUUAGUUGCCAGCAACAUCCAAUCCUCCAUUCCAGCCACAGUUCACUGAAGAACCUACAACAAUUUUAUACAAAAUUGUCUGUAUGUUCCCACCUGUGGGAUUUAAUAAACAGAACAAAAAAAUUCCAGAAAAUGCAGUCUAUUCAUUAAGCAAUCAUCCCUUUAUUUCCACCAAUAAUUAGGCAAUUCCAACCUUUGUAACAACACUUAUCUAGCUAGCAUUUCAGAAGGAAAAAUAUAGGAAGGUACAAUAGAGAAAGAAGGAUGAACUAACAGGAAUAAAUCAUGACAAUCACAAAUUCAACAACCUAUUCAAUUAGACACAAACAAUUGGUCCAUGAUGCAAUUUAAAGCCAUGUUCUUUUUUAAUACCUUGUUCAUGAGGCUGCUCUUCAGGAUCAUCCCUCCUUCCACACCAAUUCAAAGCACCAAACCAAUUGCAAAACAUGACUAUGGCCCCAGCUCCAGUCUCCUACACCCCCAUUAAACCUUGUAACAACAUUUGUCCCUCAAAUUUAUCACAUGCACCAACUACCAACCAGGAUGAAAACAAGACACUCAAUCCAACUACCUUGGAAAAGAAUGAAGCAAGUUGGAAACUUGAAUACACUGCAGGGGUAAAAGAAUUCACAGCAUGGUUUGAAAUUUGAAUCACUGUUAUAACCAAAAUCCUAGCCUGAGUUUUCAACCUGAUGGGGGUUUAAAAACGUUGAAAAACUGUGGUUUUAACUCUUAUACAGAGAAAAGUAACCAAAGCUUCGAUAGUUUAUGUGAGGUAGCUGUGUUGCAGGGUUGGCAGGAACGUGUGAAUCCAUAAAUGGUUAGGAAAUGGAAAGAUGAAACGACGGGUCAAGAAAGCUAUCAACAGAAAGGAAAGACAGCAAAGAUCUAACAAAGUCGGGGUUAAACUAUGAAAGGGACAAGUAUCUGCCCUUUGUUUUGUUUUGUUUUUUUUACUUUUAUUUUCUCUGUUCCCUACUUAUCUUUGCUUGACAAAAUAAAUAAUAAUAGAUUAUAAUUUAUAUUUAUAAUAAUAUAAGACAGGAGAGUGAUGCUGUGAAGAGAUAGCCCGCC